ACCCAGGUACAGCCGACUGAACGGGGUGCAAUAGCGGAGGAUGGUCCCAUGGAGGCUCCUCCACACCAGGGCUGCGCUCAGUACCACGUGUCUCGUGGGUAACGACGACUGCACCUCAAGACAUCGACAUUCCAGACGAGGAGGCGGCUGGAGUGUGGGGCCCGCGGCCUGGCUUCUCGUUGUCACUGUCUUCACCCUGACGAUAGCGCAGGUCGUCGCUGGUGCCGUGUGGCUGGUGAUGUGUCGCAGCAAGUGUCGGUCGUGCAAGCUUUCCUCCGUGUGCUGAGGUUGCCGGAGCUCUGUAGGUGCGACUUCUCGGUUAUCAACAAAGGUUACAGUUCGGCCACCGACCCUUGUUACGGAGGUCACAUAGCGGGAUCCUCAGGACUGAGCCACAUCCUGUUUUCCUCCCUCAGCGACAGGAGAACCACAGAAGUUCAAUCAAAGUGUUGGAUCAAAACCCAGAACUUGUUUUUUGUUUUUGUCUGGAAUUCUGUAUCUUGUGACAACAGCAAGAAACAUCACUCACUUUUUUAUACAGAAAUUGGUGUAAUUUCUGCGAUUCAAGUUGCCAAGGAUAUGCGAACCGACUUGUCUGAACACUCCGCACAUCAUGUCGACCACUGACUGAGAAAAUUUCUUCGAUCCAAUCUGCUAAAAUCAUCUAAUCUGCAUUUUUUACUUUUUUCUUCGUCAGCAGCAGCAUCAUCCGGUUUCCGAUGCCACUGUGCCAUAAAGUACUCCCCAAAAUCAGCAGCAACACUCCAGUCCUCGACUUCAAAAAGGCUUUUGACAUGGCGAGCACGCCUGCCACCACGACAACCUCUCCA
Molecule: unclassified non-coding RNA, 830 nt
Filed under: Pomacea canaliculata
Lineage: Eukaryota; Metazoa; Mollusca; Gastropoda; Architaenioglossa; Ampullariidae
Description: uncharacterized LOC112565269, transcript variant X2
Source: RNAcentral